RNAcentral lists this ribosomal RNA (450 nucleotides) under uncultured bacterium. RNAcentral describes it as "partial 16S ribosomal RNA". It matches the Rfam family "Bacterial small subunit ribosomal RNA", at positions 354 to 796 of the family's 1533-position model. The record is from RNAcentral.
GCUAAGAAUAUUCCGCAAUGGACGAAAGUCUGACGGAGCGACGCCGCGUGGAUGAAGAAGGCCGAAAGGUUGUAAAGUUCUUUUGUUGGGGAAGAAUAACCAUGGGAGGGAAUGCCCGUGGGAUGACAUGAACCGACGAAUAAGCCCCGGCUAACUACGUGCCAGCAGCCGCGGUAACACGUAGGGGGCGAGCGUUGUUCGGAAUUACUGGGCGUAAAGGGCAUGUAGGCGGUCUUGUAAGCUUGGCGUGAAAGACCACGGCUCAACCGUGGGAUUGCGUUGAGAACUGCGAGGCUUGAGUGACGGAGAGGGAGCUAGAAUUCCUGGUGUAGGGGUGGAAUCUGUAGAGAUCAGGAAGAAUACCAAUGGCGAAGGCAAGCUCCUGGCCGAUGACUGACGCUGAGGUGCGAAAGUGUGGGGAUCAAACAGGAUUAGAAACCCUAGUAGUCC